GUUUAUAUUCAGGUGCGCUUAAUAGUCCAGAAAUUACGGUACAUACUGUAGUAAACAUGGGAAAUGCCUAAUUCCUUACAUAAGGGAGAGCAGGCCAUGUCCAGACUUUCUCGGUGACCACAAGUACUCAUUAACUCUGUCUUUUAAUGCUUUUUCGGGUUGCAUCAGUCAUGGAAGGAAACUCCUGAGACACAGUAUUAACGAUGAUCACCCGGAGGUUCACUGGUAAGCUACAUUUGCCUCGAGAUCCAUCCGUUUGUAUUCUGUGCCCAGUCGAGGUAACUCUCUUCGAUUACACAUCCUUGGAAUAGCAGAACAGCAUAACGGUCUGGGCGGCCCUUGCUGUGCCUGGUGAGCAGUUGGUCAAGUUCUGUUGUCAGGGCUUUCAGCAGGAACGGAAAAUCUACUGGAGACAUUUAAAAAAUACUGGUAGACUUGGGGAUUUUGGUCACGGACAGUGCCAUUCACAAACACUAUCAUCAGAUGCCUGUUUUACGCCGAACUCGAAAGCCCAGGAAAAUUCACAGUGAGACUAUUCAAGCCAUCAACUCACUGUUGAAUGAAAAUGACGAGCGAUCGGCAAUCUGUAAUCUGCUGGCAUCACGGCACGACAUCAACAUCGCUCUAAUUACAGUCAGAAGACAGUUGAAGAAACUUGGGUGGACUUACAGAAAGGCUUAGCCCAGGCAUGGAUCAAAGCUGCCGAGACGUUCAAUAAUGUCAUCGUCACAGACUAAUCAACCGUGGCCCUUGAGCAAUUUGCUCAAAAUUGCUACAAAAAAAAGGAAGAUCAAACGAGCCGAGUCCCAAGCAUCUGCUCAAACUCCAUGUGUGAGGGGCAAUUUCUCGCCAGGGACCAGGCCCAUAUUUGACUUUUGAUGGUGAGUUUGGCUAUUUACAAAGCAAAAGGUACAUCAAAUAUUGUAGGCUACAACUCAGUCUGUUAUGUGUUCCACAAUAAUUCACCUUGCCUCCUUUUUCAGGUAUGGCUCAAGAUUUAUUUUUCUUUCUUUGAGGAAGAAAACCUUAGGAGAUAUGGACCCUAUGUCAGAGAGGUGUUUCUGGGACCACAUUGUUUCUUUCAAAGUAGGAUUAUAGCCAUUUUUAAUUACAUUUAGGCCUAUUUACAUGUAUAUUUCUAUUAAUGUACCUAAUUUUGGCUAAGGGCAUAAACUAGGUCAGGACGCCAGCAGAGUAAGUAGUUCACAACACAUGUAGUAAAAUAAAGGUUAAAUAAAAAUGUAAAAAUAAGACCUACAACACAUUCGGUAGGCCUACAGUAUAUCUAAAAAUAUAUUUUUCAUCUCUACAUGUAGGUCUCCUGAUUUUUAAACCCGGUCAAACUGGUUUGGCAUCAACUGAAAACAUUCAUCCGUAACUCUGCCAAGCCGACAAGCACAGAUGAACUGGUCAAGGCCAUCAAGAUGUUUUUGGCUUGAGAAAUUGACCAUACAACAAUGCAACAAAUACAUUGAUAAUCUCAGCAAGGUUUUACCUGUGGUUUUGGAGCUGGGUGGAAGUGCGACUAAAAUGUAGUUUAUAUAAACAUCCGCAUUUGAAUGUAUUUUUCUCGUUUAUUUUAUUUUUAUUAACAAAAGCAUAAAGAUGUUGCGGAAUAAAUACUGUACUGCUGUUUGUUAGAAAUGUAACACUUUAGAGUACUUAAGCAUCAAACGUUGAUGGAUUUUCACAACAGUAGCAGGUGGUUAUAGGUUAGUAGGUUAUACAAAGG
This is a long non-coding RNA of Oncorhynchus tshawytscha (Chinook salmon), 1732 nucleotides long. The record is from Ensembl. NCBI's taxonomy places the organism in Eukaryota, Metazoa, Chordata, Actinopteri, Salmoniformes, Salmonidae.